AUGCAGAAUAGCCACCUCCUGGUUGCUCUGUUUCUGCCAUUCUGCUUACCCUGGUUCAGCUGCUUGUCAGGGCGCUUAAGCACGGCAGCUAUGAGAAAAAUAAGACUUACAGGAUCUGAACCAUCAUUAAAGAGGAGAGGUUUUUUCCGCUACAGGAGAUUACCAGUAGAGGCCCAGUCUCUAUCCACAGCAGCAGAUGACAAGUCUCUACGACUCCAUGGUGGACAGCUCCGUAAUUAUUCGAGUACUUCGAUGAGCAAUGAGUCUUUGGUUCCUAAUCAUAAUAUUGGUCUCUUGGGAAGAAUUCAGCAACUAAUAGAUUCCCAUCAAUCAAGAAGGUGCAGUACUGCUGCAUUCGAUGUGCUCAGGAAGGUGCUAAGGCAUGCAUGAACAAAAAGGU
Molecule: long non-coding RNA, 400 nt
Filed under: Oryza sativa Indica Group (long-grained rice)
Lineage: Eukaryota; Viridiplantae; Streptophyta; Magnoliopsida; Poales; Poaceae
Description: lncRNA OsZS97_02G010860
Source: RNAcentral